UUGAUCAAGGAAUGUCAAGAUCGGUGUCGAUAUUGCCAUAUAAAUGUUGGCUAGUCAUGACAAGCCUUGCCUUGUUAAUUCAUUUAGAAGUCACCUAGCAUGCCACCUCCACAAUGUGUGCGCAAAGUUGUCUCAGGUGAAUAAUGGGCAGAUGGGCUUCAGUACUAAAGCGUCGGACAGCUCCCAGUUCGCUGGUUUUGCGGAUGCGCUUUAUACAUAGGAUCUAAUGUAACAAUCGCUUCCCCCGCAUGCACCGAUCUCUUACUUUUGUCUUAAAGCAAUUGCUGAGUUUCCUUUACAAGGGAGAGGGGCUUUACAGUGAAUUGGAAAUGAUAUUGCUGCUAAAUUAGCUCCAAGCCAAUCUGAUCUGUGCCAUUGUAUAGUGAUAAGCUUUAAGCAGGGACUGAUUUCAAAGAUAAGAUGCUCUCCCUCUCUGCAUGCAGCUAUAGCACAUGGAGCUCUGAUGAUGGAUUCUAUUACCCACAGAGCACUGGAGAUCAUUUUCCAUCAGUAAAGGUGCUGUUGGAUACCAUGCAUGUGUAUUUAUGCCUUUGGUUAUGCAUGAUCAUGUGGAUAUAAAAGUAUGUUUUAUUAGUUAAUACUACUAGAGGGCUUGUGGAAUCACAGCAGCCCCAUGGCUAAACUGUCACUCUUCUUAUGCUGCUAAACGUUUCUCAUAGUCUGACUAUAGUCUAAAUGCAUGUUCCUAUAGUCCCACAAGGCAUUGGUCCUUUCCCAUUGGGAAGUCAUGAAUAAAAGGCAAUGAAGCCUCCACGUCAGAUGCUCCUCAAUUAAUCCACCAUUAGCAGGUUUGGGAUCCACUACUGGAGAUGCUGGUGUAACUGUAUGAUGUCCACAGCCAAUUAGGCUCAGCUUUAAAAAAAAAAAAAAAAAAAAUGAACUCUUUGCAGCCCUGAGCUGGGAGCUGUCAGGGUUUUUACGUGUUCAGAUGUGGAGGUUGAGGGGGAAGUGGCAGCAGGCAGAUGGUGCAGAUCAGAUCGAUGUGAUCGUUUUUGCUGCUUUUUUUUUUUUUUCGUCUCUCUUUCUCUUUUCCCUCUGGUUGCUGCUGGAGCUGAGGGCGAUUGCUGAGAGCGCUAAGGCACCAGCCGACAGGGAAUGAAUGUGUUUGGGGACCAUUAGCAGGAUAUUUAGUGAUUUUCACCAAUGAUUCCAUUUAUCCAGCAACAAGCGAGCAGCAGCUGCAUUUGCGUCCUGGAUUAGCAACUAAAAGGGAUUCACUGAGCUCUUGGACAUCCAAUUGAACAGGCUGGAGCUGGGGGCGUACAUCAAGGGUUAUUUUGCAAGUAGGAAAGAAGACAUGGGAAGAGACAAGGUACAUUGCACGUAAACUCUCUUGUGGUGUGUAGAUACACAACAUCUCCAUUGCAUUUAAACACUGCAUGGUUUUCUGCUAUUCUUUCAGGACUUGGAACAAAGACAUUUUGGACUUGGGUUAUGAAUCUCCAUGACCUGUUUGGAUUCCAUUCUUCUGAUUUAUGGCUGUGGAUUUAUUGCCCGGUGUGCUGUUGCUCUGUGGCUCUCUUCGGUGACGGGUAUUCUUGGGUGGAUAAUACGGAUUACGUUGUUAUUGCUUAAGAAUACGCGUAGUUGAGGAGAGUAUCUUCAGCAAGGAAGCUCCAUGUCUCCAGCACCAAGGGAGUCCCUACUCUAGUGGCCAAGGUAGCACAUUUUCCUACAUUACUGGUACAUAUAUAUAUAUAUAUAUAUAUAUAUAUAUAUAUAUAUAUAUAUAUAUAUAUAUAUAUAUAUAUAUAUAUAUAUAUACUGUAUAUACUGUAUAUAUAUAUAUAUAUACAUAUAAAUAUGUGAUUUUUAACAAAACUCUGCUUUAUACAUGUUUCAGCUGAGGGCAUUUUAAACGGGUAGUGUAUUGUAUUCUCCCUUUUAAACUUCAGCUGAAAGCAAGUAACACAGUUUUUUUUCUUUUUAAAUUUCUUUUUUAAAUAAUUUUUUCUUUGUUUUAUGGAAUGGUGGGGCAGGCACUGUUGAUAUUUAUGCAUGUUGAUAUCAGUUUUUAAAGAGUCCAAUUUUGAAAUGUAAAAACCUUGGAGGCCUCUUGUGUAAGCUUGAUUUUGUGGAUGAAUUAUGCAUAGCUUCAGAUUUACACCAAGGCAACGCCUUAAAAUGCUGACAACCAGGAUCCUCUGGGAGUCGAGUGACAUAUAAUCCUUCUAUGGUUGGGGAAUUUGCAAUGGGAUCCUGCUCUGUGGCCUCUGUCUUUGCCCUGGGCCUAAUCUCUGCCCUACAUUUAUUACCCUUUGCCGUUGCACUCAGUCAUCUGGAUCCCUCACUCCUUUUCUGACACACACAGAACAUGUCCCUCUGGAUGUGUCAGACCUGCAUCCUGCACUGCAGACUGCUUUAUUUUCCUGCUGGCAUUGUCGGGGUUAACAUUGCUGUCUUGCACUGGUCGAAAAGAUAAUGGGUUGUGUUUGGUCGAACCAUGGAUUUCAAAUUGCCAUUCUGAAACUAUUGGAAAUCUUUGUGAUAGCUUUGUAACACGUUAAUGCCACUCCAGGUGGCCAAUAAAUGCUUUGAUACUUUC
This is a long non-coding RNA of Xenopus laevis (African clawed frog), 2566 nucleotides long. RefSeq lists it as uncharacterized. The transcript has 2 exons. The record is from RefSeq and is a predicted model, not a curated record. Lineage: Eukaryota; Metazoa; Chordata; Amphibia; Anura; Pipidae.